GAUGAACGCUGGCGGCGUGCUUAACACAUGCAAGUCGAACGAAGACAUCUGAGUGCUUGCACUUGGAUGGACUGAGUGGCGGACGGGUGAGUAACGCGUGGGUAACCUGCCUUAUACAGGGGGAUAACAGUUGGAAACGACUGCUAAUACCGCAUAAGCGCACGGUAUCGCAUGAUACAGUGUGAAAAACUCCGGUGGUAUAAGAUGGACCCGCGUCUGAUUAGCUUGUUGGUGAGGUAACGGCCCACCAAGGCGACGAUCAGUAGCCGGCCUGAGAGGGUGAACGGCCACAUUGGGACUGAGACACGGCCCAAACUCCUACGGGAGGCAGCAGUGGGGAAUAUUGCACAAUGGGGGAAACCCUGAUGCAGCGACGCCGCGUGAGUGAUGAAGUAUUUCGGUAUGUAAACUCCUAGUUGUUGAGGAAGAUAAUGAACGGUACUCGAACAAGGAAGUGACGGCUAACUACGUG
This 472-nucleotide ribosomal RNA is filed under the name uncultured bacterium. Its description in RNAcentral is "bacterial SSU rRNA". It matches the Rfam family "Bacterial small subunit ribosomal RNA", at positions 28 to 507 of the family's 1533-position model. The record is from RNAcentral.